Molecule: long non-coding RNA, 1233 nt
Organism: Felis catus (domestic cat)
Lineage: Eukaryota; Metazoa; Chordata; Mammalia; Carnivora; Felidae
Exons: 5
Source: RefSeq, a predicted model, not a curated record
GACGCAACCCGGGGGCUGGGAAAGGCCCGAGAGGUGUGUGAAAAGCGGGGGAGCCCCGCCCUUUCGCCCCCCAAACGGCGGGAUUUGGGAACCCGGGGCUGGGCCCCGUUUAGGGGGCCCUCAAUCUUGCCUCCCGGUUAUCAGCAUCCUUCAGGCUGCCACGCGAAGCGACGGUUGGUGGCCUGCCUGUUUUGCUGAGGAAAAGCUUAGGCGCUGCGGGGUGGGACUUGGAGGCGUAAACACGAUCUCAGCUCAUUUUAUGUUGUUUUGGAUUCCUAACGAAUUUCCAGUGAAAGAGAAAUGGAGAGACAAGACAUUUUUAGAUCAUGUCAAAUCUUGUACAUUAAAAUAAGAUCUCCCACAGAGGCUCCCCAUCAGCCAGACCCAAGAGAGAGUCAGAGAGAAGAGUUGUUAGUCAGCCUCCAGGGUCAACAGCAGGUAACCAGAAAUUAAAUAAGGACAUAUAACAUGCUCAGGAGUGCUAUGAAGAAACACCACAGUCAUGUGGACCUUUGUUUUUGUUUGCCUUCCUGUGUGUUGGAACUGCACUUCAACGUUCUAGAUAAAACCAGAGCCAUGAACUUGAACUGCGGUUUGCUUUUAAAGAUGUGUGUAUCAGUUAGGAAUGCUUUGGCUGGCAGUGAAAGGCAACUGACUAACAGCAGUUUCACAGAGACUAUUUUUCAUACAUUAAGAAAAGAUCUGGAUGGGCAAUUGCUGGUGUUGGCUCAACGCCUCAGUUUCUGGGCUGGCAUCUUCCAGACGCUUCUGACCUUUUCCUUCCAGUCACCAGUGAUUAAAACAGCUCCAGAAGAAAGAAUCUGCCGUGGAUUUUGUCAUUGUUGUUGCUGAGUAUCUGAGCUCAUUCUGAUUUCCAAGAAGUGAAACCAUGUAACAUUUGAAUCACUUCACCUGUGACCAGAUUUAGAAACAACGGCCACCAUAUACAUCUCCCAGCUUUGUUGUUUUUUGUGGUCUUGGGUUUCAGUCCUAGUUGCUGUAGAUUAAACUUGAUCAAAGUUUACAUGUACUAUGAGCCAAAGUUCAAUGACUUCUACUUCUGUGGCUGUCUGGAGGGUAUCACUUUGCUACAAAACACAAGAUGAUUAGUUCUGAAAUGUCAUGUCUUCUUGAAGCCCAGUUAGCGGGCUGCCUGAGAUCAUUUGUAGACUACCUCUCCAAGCUGACUGUCAGCAUGUUAAUUUUGCUCAAAUAAAGAGCACGUUUGCUCUC